ACUAAGUAGCAGUAGCGUUUGAUUUUGUACAGCGCUACCGGUAACAUUCUAUGUAUAAGGUUUUCCCUAGUAGUGCUUGCUUGAACUGAAUCAGCCAUUAGCUUCUUAUUAUGUACAUAUCUGAAAAAACUAUAGGUCUACCUCUCUGUAUAAAUACACAAGCAUUCUAACCUAUAAGGUGGCUGGGCGACCCGCCCACCCAAGCGCUCCUUCGAUUUUGCUUAGUUUUGACCCUUCGAUCGGGCCUGGUCGCGUCAACGCUGGUGUGCCAGCCGUUUGAUUUUAAGAUAUUUUUUGACCCAUGAUUGUUUCAAGCAAUAGUGUUGUCAAUAUAUUAAUUAUUAGAUUAUGUUACUAUUGUAUAUUAGAAGAACUUCCUGAUAUAUGUAUUUAUAGGAUUCUCUGAUAUUUGAUGCAAAAUAUUGAUGGCCAGGUGAAUACAGUGGACUCUUCAAGAUUGAGGGCCAACUGCAUAUGCCGAGGGUAUCCAUCGACAACCUGCCCAAUGUCCAUAUUCACCGAGGAGUACAACCAGAGACACUGUUGGCUGCGUGCAGGCGCCAAGCCCUCCGACGCCCAGCCGUCUGCUAUGGUCUCUGCCUGAAGAAGGAUUAUGGUUCUCCACCUCUCUGCUACUCAUAUUAAAAUUCUGCAGGAUUAUGUAACCAGUUCAAGAAUUGAUGAGUUUUCGAGCCCGAUGAUCUCUGUACACUAAGGUAAAAACACUAGCAUGUUGGUGCAUGCAUCGGUUGUGGCAAAGAUCUGUGAAUGACAAUGCAUUGCUGACCAUAGAGCAAUGCAAGGCUUCAGGAUAUGGACGACAACUUAGGCUGCGUGGGAAUCCCUCCGCUCCGUAACUCCCUUGCAGAGCAGAACUUCAUACAGUAUAAAUUUGAGGAGCGGCCAAUAGGUUGCUCCGCACGCUCCGCUCCCUGGUGAAGGAGAUGGAGCAGAGGAUUGCCGAAGACAACCUUAAAGACUUGACGCAUUGCCACUUGCUUCUAUGACCAUGGAAGUGAUCAAUGCUUUAGUGUUGAACUAUUGAUUAAUCCCUCUUAUUUCUUUAAUCUAUGUGACGGUGCUCCUUACCAUAAAUACUUGUUAUGUGGAUUCAAUAUAAAUGAUGUUUUAGGCA
Molecule: long non-coding RNA, 1135 nt
Organism: Triticum dicoccoides
Lineage: Eukaryota; Viridiplantae; Streptophyta; Magnoliopsida; Poales; Poaceae
Exons: 4
Source: RefSeq, a predicted model, not a curated record